ACGUAGGGAGCAAGCGUUGUCCGGAAUUACUGGGCGUAAAGGGUGCGUAGGCGGCAUGGCAAGUCAGAUGUGAAAUCCCCGGGCUUAACUCGGGGGGUGCAGUGGAAACUGCUUUGCAGGAGUGCAAGAGAGGAAAGAGGAAUUCCUUGUGUAGCGGUGAAAUGCGGAGAUGGUAGGAGGAACAAGAGGGGCGAAGGGGGUAUGGUAGGCUGCAACUGAAACUCAGGCACGAAAGCCUGGGGAGCGAACAG
RNAcentral lists this ribosomal RNA (251 nucleotides) under uncultured prokaryote. RNAcentral describes it as "partial 16S rRNA". It matches the Rfam family "Bacterial small subunit ribosomal RNA", at positions 525 to 775 of the family's 1533-position model. The record is from RNAcentral.